This 768-nucleotide ribosomal RNA is filed under the name uncultured bacterium. RNAcentral describes it as "bacterial SSU rRNA". It matches the Rfam family "Bacterial small subunit ribosomal RNA", at positions 1 to 771 of the family's 1533-position model. The record is from RNAcentral.
CCCUUAGAGUUUGAUCCUGGCUCAGAUUGAACGCUGGCGGCAGGCCUAACACAUGCAAGUCGAGCGCGAAAGGUCCUCGGGCUGAGUAAAGCGGCGAACGGGUGAGUAACGCGUGGGAAUCUGCCUAGUAGUGGGGGACAACAGCCGGAAACGGCUGCUAAUACCGCAUACGCCCUACGGGGGAAAGGGGGGGAUCUUCGGACCUCUCGCUAUUGGAUGAGCCCGCGUCGGAUUAGCUAGUUGGUAGGGUAAAGGCCUACCAAGGCGACGAUCCGUAACUGGUCUGAGAGGAUGAUCAGUCACACUGGAACUGAGACACGGUCCAGACUCCUACGGGAGGCAGCAGUGGGGAAUAUUGGACAAUGGGGGCAACCCUGAUCCAGCCAUGCCGCGUGUGUGAAGAAGGCCUUCGGGUUGUAAAGCACUUUCAGUGGGGAGAAAAGUGAUUCACCUAAUACGUGAGUUAAUUGAUGUUACCCACAGAAGAAGCACCGGCUAACUCCGUGCCAGCAGCCGCGGUAAUACGGAGGGUGCAAGCGUUAAUCGGAAUUACUGGGCGUAAAGCGCACGUAGGCGGUUCGUUAAGCCAGCUGUGAAAUCCCCGGGCUCAACCUGGGAAUUGCAGUUGGAACUGGCGGGCUAGAGUAUGGUAGAGGGGUGUGGAAUUUCAGGUGUAGCGGUGAAAUGCGUAGAUAUCUGAAGGAACACCAGUGGCGAAGCGACACCCUGGACCAAUACUGACGCUGAGUGCGAAAGCGUGGGGAGCAA